GUCGUGGCCACGCCGCGGGGCGACACGAAAGCAAACUCGACCUCGACGCCUCCUCCCACAUCAACGCCUUCCGCCGAAUGCGAGCCCGCCGCUCGUCGCAUUCUUGCUCCCCUCGUCUUCGAUCGCGCGAGAGAUUUGAGAAGGUCUCCCGAGGUGCAAUGGUGGGCACACAUGGUUAUGAACCCACCCACCUGGGUUCGAGGACUCUAGUCAAGGUUAAAAAGACAGCACCAGAGAUUCCACGCCAAGAUUUUAGGAUCAGAGGGAGUAUAUAAUCAAGAUCGGAAGCCUAACUCUUUCAAGAUUUACAUGCAUGUCAUACCCUGGGACGGCCACCAGCUGCACAAGGCAUCUUCUAAAUCUCUUGGCUGACCACAAUCUCGAGUAUCAAAAUUGAAAAUUCACAACAAGAUGUCUCAACAGAUGCGUGCACCUACCCCAACAACUAAAAAUGAGGCUGCUAUCACAACAAGGCAAAGUACUGAAGCUGCAUCUGCUAUACUACUGUUACACUGAAUUUUAUUUAUUUUGUCAUUUCUGAUGUAUGCAAAGCCAAAUAAAAUAAAAUUAGAAAUUUAGUUGGGUUCAUUUGAUUCUGAAUAUUAUAAAACAAAAUUAUAUAAUGUGUCACAAAAUUGUUCAAAACCGAACUGAAUGAUCACCCCUAGUUAUGGCCUGAUCUUAGGCUUGUAACUAUGUAUUCUUUUUAUCGAUGCAUCAAGGCGCAAACUUUGCAUUUUCUCGGAAAAAGAAAGUACUCUUGCCUCGGAGAAUUUGGCAUGGAGGACCAGGAGCACAUCACAUGUCAGUUACUUAUUGGGCAGUAUUUUCGUACUCUUUGGUUUUAACAAUGGUAUCCAUGCUAAUGUGACUAGACUUUUCUUAAGAAAAUACUUCCACAACAUUGCAUUUUAACUAUAUCUUGCAAAUAUAGUACUUCCUCCGUCCAACAAAGGAUGUCUCAACUUUGACUAAAUUUGAAUGCAUCUAUACACUAAGUCAUGUCUAGAUACAUCCAAAUUUUGACAAACUUGAGACAUCUUUUGUUGGACGGAGGGAGUAAUAAUGUAUAACGAAAAUGGUUGUCCCAGUUGCAUUUUCGAAGCUGUUCUAAUACAAUACGGUCUUUAGAGCAGAUGGAAUGCAGUACAAUUGUUAUUGUUGCCCACUAAUAGGAAAUAAUUGAUCUUAUGUUGAAUAUGUCAUAAGGAAGUUGAUCACUUGAUGUACUGCCUGGUAAUGUUUUUUUCCAGAUAAACUGUCAUACACCAUCUGUGUUCUACUUGCGACAGGUUCCAAAUUGCUGAGGAGGAUAAGGGAGAAUAUCAUGGGCUGGGAGAAGACCUCCCUGAAGCAAGGUCCCAUUUAAUCCCUCACGCAUAGUUCUACAGCUGGGAGCAUUCACAAGGAUAGCCCUGUUGCCAAGUAUCUUCUUUGGCAUUCUGUGAAGCCUAAGGAUUUUAAUUCAUAUGACAAGUAGCGCGCCAAUUACGAAGCAAUGAUUGGUAAUAUUCGAAUUAUCAUCAAGCUCUUGGGUAGUAAACCCCUGGACAAAAAACGACUCACACUUGAGAGAAGAUUUAUGUCCAUGCUGCCAUGGUAUAAGACUGAUGGACACACACCUGUAUUGGCGCGUUGAGUAUGGCCAGGAUUCAAAAUGCACGAAGUAUGGGUGCAGAUUCCAGAAGGACUGCCUGCAUGGUCUCACAUUAUUUUGAUUCUACUUCAUUUCCCCAAGGGUACACGUGGAGAAUUUCAGGUUUUUCAUUAAACAUGUUCCUGUAGACUUGGGCUCUUCUUCUGCCUUCUGGUGGCAAUAGCUAAACAUCUCGCCAUCGAACUCACCCUCCGGCUCUCUAAUUCAGUGCGAUGGCCUGGAGGACUAAUGGCAAUGCCAAGGGAAGGAUAUUGAAUUCAUUGUUACCAGAUUUAUCCAUCAUCACAUUUUUCCUGAGAUAUGCAAACAUUAAUAACUACUGAUUAAUUUUUAUAUUCCAAAAUUGCAUUAGGAGGUACUACUAAUUUAUUGCAUACCAUGUUUUCAGUGUUAUCUCCAUAUACGACGUGUAGAGCUAACAGAAACAUAUUCUUCCCUAUUAUUGCAAACAUGACCCAACAAGUACGUUUAUUUACUCGUGAAAAAUAAUAACACUCUAAAACGUGUUUAUUCUGAGUUGAUUGGAUACCGCCGAUGUUCCAUGUCAAAAUAUGAGAAAAUUAUUCCUUGCACCAAAACUCACAAUUUCACAGCAGUUUUGUGUCCUAACUUGUGUGUAAAUUCCUUCCUACAUUGUUAUGAAGUACUACCUCCAAUCAAAUCAGCGGUUGGUAUGGAUUGGAGGGAGAAGCAUAUUACUCAUACCGAAACACAAACUGCACGAUCAGUAUGUUCUGACAUUUUAUUUUAUUAAGGAAGGUUAGAACCUCCUGGC
This is a long non-coding RNA of Brachypodium distachyon (stiff brome), 2432 nucleotides long. RefSeq lists it as uncharacterized. Lineage: Eukaryota; Viridiplantae; Streptophyta; Magnoliopsida; Poales; Poaceae. The transcript has 7 exons. The record is from RefSeq and is a predicted model, not a curated record.